RNAcentral lists this ribosomal RNA (406 nucleotides) under uncultured bacterium. Its description in RNAcentral is "partial 16S ribosomal RNA". It matches the Rfam family "Bacterial small subunit ribosomal RNA", at positions 30 to 526 of the family's 1533-position model. The record is from RNAcentral.
AUUGAACGCUGGCGGCAGGCCUAACACAUGCAAGUCGAACGAGUGGCGGACGGGUGAGUAAUGUCUGGGAAACUGCCUGAUGGAGGGGGAUAACUACUGGAAACGGUAGCUAAUACCGCAUACCAUCGGAUGUGCCCAGCUGGGAUUAGCUAGUAGGGGGGGUAAAGGCUCACCUAGGCGCCGAGCACUAGCUGGUCUGAGAGGAUGACAAGCCACGCUGGAACUGAUACAGGGGCCAGACUCGGACGGUAGGCAGCAGUGGGGAAUAUUGCACAGUGGGCGCAAGCCUGAUGCAGCCAUGCCGCGUGUAUGAAGAAGGCCUUCGGGUUGUAAAGUACUUUCAGCGGGGAGGCGUUACCCGCAGAAGAAGCACCGGCUAACUCCGUGCCAGCAGCCGCGGUAAUUC